GCUUGCUUCGACAAUACAUAUACAAAAAUUGGAAUGAUACAGAGAAGAUAAGCAUGGUCGCUGCAAAAGGAUGACACACAAAUUCAUGAAGCAUUCCAUAUUUUU
Small nuclear RNA from Suricata suricatta (meerkat), 105 nucleotides. NCBI's taxonomy places the organism in Eukaryota, Metazoa, Chordata, Mammalia, Carnivora, Herpestidae. The record is from Ensembl.